This 258-nucleotide ribosomal RNA is filed under the name uncultured bacterium. Its description in RNAcentral is "partial 16S ribosomal RNA". It matches the Rfam family "Bacterial small subunit ribosomal RNA", at positions 96 to 354 of the family's 1533-position model. The record is from RNAcentral.
UGGCGGACGGGUGAGUAACGCGUGGAUAACCUGCCGUAUACCGGGGGAUAACACUUAGAAAUAGGUGCUAAUACCGCAUAAGCGCACGGCUCCGCAUGGGGCAGUGUGAAAAACUCCGGUGGUAUACGAUGGAUCCGCGUCUGAUUAGCUAGUUGGCGGGGUAACGGCCCACCAAGGCAGCGAUCAGUAGCCGGCCUGAGAGGGUGGACGGCCACAUUGGGACUGAGACACGGCCCAAACUCCUACGGGAGGCAGCAG